UACGUAGGGGGCAAGCGUUGUCCGGAUUUAUUGGGCGUAAAGAGCGUGUAGGCGGCCAGGUAGGUCUGCUGUGAAAACUCGAGGCUUAACCUCGAGCUGUCGGCGGAAACCCUCUGGCUAGAGUCCGGAAGAGGAGAAUGGAAUUCCCGGUGUAGCGGUGAAAUGCGCAGAUAUCGGGAAGAACACCCGUGGCGAAGGCGGUUCUCUGGGACGGUACUGACGCUGAGGAGCGAAAGCGUGGGUAGCAAACAGG
This 253-nucleotide ribosomal RNA is filed under the name uncultured bacterium. RNAcentral describes it as "partial 16S ribosomal RNA". It matches the Rfam family "Bacterial small subunit ribosomal RNA", at positions 524 to 776 of the family's 1533-position model. The record is from RNAcentral.